Molecule: transfer RNA, 73 nt
Filed under: Stegodyphus mimosarum
Lineage: Eukaryota; Metazoa; Arthropoda; Arachnida; Araneae; Eresidae
Rfam family: tRNA
About the family: Transfer RNA (tRNA) molecules are approximately 80 nucleotides in length. Their secondary structure includes four short double-helical elements and three loops (D, anti-codon, and T loops).
Source: Rfam by way of RNAcentral
GCCUUCGUGGUGUAGUGGUCAGCACACUAGGAGUGCAUUCCAGAGGACCCUGGUUCGAAUCCCGGGGAUGGCA